AUGGGGAUGAGGCGCCGGAUCCGGGUGUGGCCCGGGUUGGGCGUGGCGCUCCGGAGACCCCUGGGGAUGCAGAAACAAAGAGUCUGUGCCCAGUCCAAGUUAGCAGGUGUUUAUUGUGAUUAUUAUUUACAUUUAUAUCAUCUUUGGGCUGCUGUGACCCUACUGGAGUCUGGGGGGGACCUCCAACCCCCCGGGGGGUCCCUGACUCUGCUCUGCCGCGCCUCCGGGUUCAGUUUUGAGAGUUUUGACAUGUACUGGGUCCGGCAAAGACCUGGGAAGGCGCUGGAAUUCGUCACAAGGAUCAACGACGAUGGUGACAGCACCGGUUACGCGCCGUUGGUCAAGGACCGGUUCACGAUCUCCAGGGACAACGGGCAGAGCUCGGUGACGCUGACCAUGAACAACCUCAAGGACGAGGAUUCCGCCGUUUAUUUCUGCGCCAGGAUCCAGGGCCGAUUGCUGAGGUUUGGGGGGCAGAGCUCAAAGCUUUGGAGGAACGGCCAAGAGUUGGAAAUUGGCACUGGAAUCCUCAGUCUGGAGAUCCAGACCCGGCCCUGCACCGACCCAGAGCCAAUCACGGUCAGGGCGUGGGGCUGA
Catharus ustulatus (Swainson's thrush) is the source of this 597-nucleotide non-coding RNA. Lineage: Eukaryota; Metazoa; Chordata; Aves; Passeriformes; Turdidae. The record is from the annotation of a RefSeq genome assembly.